Molecule: ribosomal RNA, 434 nt
Filed under: uncultured bacterium
Lineage: Bacteria
Description: partial 16S ribosomal RNA
Rfam family: Bacterial small subunit ribosomal RNA
Source: RNAcentral
GAACGAACGCUGGCGGCAUGCCUAACACAUGCAAGUCGAACGAGACCUUCGGGUCUUGUGGCGCACGGGUGCGUAACGCGUGGGAACCUGCCCUUAGGUUCGGAAUAACUCCCCGAAAGGGGUGCUAAUACCGGAUAAUGUCUUCGGACCAAAGAUUUAUCGCCUUUGGAUGGGCCCGCGUUGGAUUAGCUAGUUGGUAGGGUAAAAGCCUACCAAGGCGACGAUCCAUAGCUGGUCUGAGAGGAUGAUCAGCCACACUGGGACUGAGACACGGCCCAGACUCCUACGGGAGGCAGCAGUGGGGAAUAUUGGACAAUGGGCGAAAGCCUGAUCCAGCAAUGCCGCGUGAGUGAUGAAGGCCUUAGGGUUGUAAAGCUCUUUUACCCGGGAUGAUAAUGACAGUACCGGGAGAAUAAGCUCCGGCUAACUCCGUG